This 465-nucleotide ribosomal RNA is filed under the name uncultured bacterium. Its description in RNAcentral is "partial 16S ribosomal RNA". It matches the Rfam family "Bacterial small subunit ribosomal RNA", at positions 28 to 507 of the family's 1533-position model. The record is from RNAcentral.
GACGAACGCUGGCGGCGUGCUUAACACAUGCAAGUCGAACGGAAAGGCCCUGCUUGCAGGGUACUCGAGUGGCGAACGGGUGAGUAACACGUGGGUGAUCUGCCCUGCACUUCGGGAUAAGCCUGGGAAACUGGGUCUAAUACCGGAUAGGAGCCAUUUUUAGUGUGAUGGUUGGAAAGUUUUUUCGGUGUAGGAUGAGCUCGCGGCCUAUCAGCUUGUUGGUGGGGUAAUGGCCUACCAAGGCGGCGACGGGUAGCCGGCCUGCGAGGGUGGACGGCCACAUUGGGACUGAGAGACGGCCCAGACGCCUACGGGAGGCAGCAGUGGGGAAUAUUGCACAAUGGGCGCAAGCCUGAUGCAGCGACGCCGCGUGGGGGAUGACGGCCUUCGGGUUGUAAACUCCUUUCGCUAGGGACGAAGCUUUUUGUGACGGUACCUAGAUAAGAAGCACCGGCUAACUACGUG